GCUCACAGACUACAUAUCCCAGAGAGCGCUGCGGCGCGGCCGGAAGAAGAGCGUGCGAGACCAGUGCGCAGGCGCGCGAGCCGACUCGGAUUAUAUAAGAGAAGUCCCGUGGUCUUUUCGUUCUUUCACUUCUGCGGCGUCUUGCUGUUGUUUUAGGUCCUGCGUUUCACAGGAGGUGACUUUUCCCCGGCAUCCACGUUAUGUUUAGGGCUAGCGCGACAAAGCGGUGCAGAAUGGUUGUUGGAGGCUCUGAUCAUAUCGGGACCUCCAGAGGAAUCCCGUUUAAUUACCUGCAACCUUCGAUCUCCUAAGCUCCGUUUUGCUGCUGGCAGAAAUAAGACUGAGUGGAUCAGUCUGACCAAGAGCGAAGAAAGGAUGGUGAUUACACGAUGUCUCCUUCAGGUCAGGAGCCCUGCUUGCCAGUGUACAUUCAGUCUGAUCUUUGGCUUGGUUCAUUGUCCUGCAACAGGUGCUUCUCAGCUGUGUAGCUGGAGUAUCACAGGCCUUCUUGGAAGAAAUCAGCUUUUUCUGCUGAGACUGAUUAGAGUUCUCUGAAGAUUUCGAGGACUAAUUCUGUAUCUUAAAAAUAAAUCCUUUUAAAUAAUUGGC
Molecule: long non-coding RNA, 609 nt
Organism: Castor canadensis (American beaver)
Lineage: Eukaryota; Metazoa; Chordata; Mammalia; Rodentia; Castoridae
Source: RefSeq, a predicted model, not a curated record